AUACAGAGGGUGCGAGCGUUAAUCGGAAUUACUGGGCGUAAAGCGCGCGUAGGCGGUUAUUUAAGUCAGAUGUGAAAUCCCUGGGCUCAACCUAGGAACUGCAUCUGAAACUGGGUAACUAGAGUUUAGGAGAGGGGAGUAGAAUUUCGGGUGUAGCGGUGAAAUGCAUAGAGAUCCGAAGGAAUACCAGUGGCGAAGGCGACUCCCUGGCCUAGAACUGACGCUGAGGUGCGAAAGCGUGGGUAGCAAACGGGAUUAGAUACCCUAGUAGUCC
RNAcentral lists this ribosomal RNA (274 nucleotides) under uncultured bacterium. RNAcentral describes it as "partial 16S ribosomal RNA". It matches the Rfam family "Bacterial small subunit ribosomal RNA", at positions 523 to 796 of the family's 1533-position model. The record is from RNAcentral.